This 497-nucleotide ribosomal RNA is filed under the name uncultured bacterium. RNAcentral describes it as "partial 16S ribosomal RNA". It matches the Rfam family "Bacterial small subunit ribosomal RNA", at positions 28 to 507 of the family's 1533-position model. The record is from RNAcentral.
GAUGAACGCUGGCGGCGUACCUAAUACAUGCAAGUCGAGCGAACAGACGAGGAGCUUGCUCCUCUGACGUUAGCGGCGGACGGGUGAGUAACACGUGGAUAACCUACCUAUAAGACUGGGAUAACUUCGGGAAACCGGAGCUAAUACCGGAUAACAUGUUGAACCGCAUGGUUUAACAGUGAAAGACGGUCUUGCUGUCACUUAUAGAUGGAUCCGCGCCGCAUUAGCUAGUUGGUAAGGUAACGGCUUACCAAGGCAACGAUGCGUAGCCGACCUGAGAGGGUGGUCGGCCACACUGGAACGGAGACACGGUCCAUGCUCCUACGGGAGGCAGCAGUAGGGAAUCUUCCGCAAUGGGCGAAAGCCUGACGGAGCAACGCCGCGUGAGUGAAGAAGGCCUUCGGAUCGUAAAACUCUGUUAUUAGGGAAGAACAAAUGUGUAAGUAACUAUGCACGUCUUGACGGUACCUAAUCAGAAAGCCACGGCUAACUACGUG